UACGUAGGGGGCGAGCGUUGUCCGGAAUUAUUGGGCGUAAAGAGCGCGUAGGCGGCUCUCCAAGUCCGGUGUGAAAACCUAGGGCUUAACCCUGGGCCUGCACCGGAAACUGGUUGGCUAGAGUUUGGUAGAGGAGAUCGGAAUUCCUAGUGUAGCGGUGAAAUGCGCAGAUAUUAGGAAGAACACCGGUGGCGAAGGCGGAUCUCUGGGCCACAACUGACGCUGAGGCGCGAAAGCUAGGGGAGCAAACAGG
This 253-nucleotide ribosomal RNA is filed under the name uncultured bacterium. RNAcentral's name for it is "partial 16S ribosomal RNA". It matches the Rfam family "Bacterial small subunit ribosomal RNA", at positions 524 to 776 of the family's 1533-position model. The record is from RNAcentral.